Molecule: long non-coding RNA, 369 nt
Filed under: Aphidius gifuensis
Lineage: Eukaryota; Metazoa; Arthropoda; Insecta; Hymenoptera; Braconidae
Description: uncharacterized LOC122854461, transcript variant X1
Source: RNAcentral
GCUCUGUUGUUACCAUUAACGGUACAAGUAAUUAGUAGUCAAUAUGGUGAGUUAAGGGUACCGAUCAUACCAGAUAGGGAGAGUGGCCGAAUAAUGACUUUGGAAAAUAUGCCCUUCAGAGAUGAGAUGUUUCUGAUAAGCUUGCUCUUUCUUGCCAAUUUAUUGGGUUAUAUUAGUGUGAUUAAGGGAUCGGUUCCGGGCUUGGGAUUUUAUUUAAUCGUCCGUAUGGUCGAGUUGCUGAUAUCUUGGUGUUGGGCGUUAUCAGUUUGGCGUCUACAUUCGUAGUAAUUCAGCUGUUGGCACUAGUGUUAAAAAACAAGACAGAUUGAGCGAUCAUCGUUCAUAACAAAAAACAUUUUAUGCAAAGAA